AGGGACACAGAGUGCUAACUAUUCACAGCCAGGACUUUUGGGGUCCCAAAAAGUCUUCCUUCCCACUGGGUAACAUUUCCUUAUCAGUGAACAUCUAGCUUGUUCGUAGUUCUGUUUCUUUAAUUCAGAAAGCAUGCAGGGUGCUAAAUAAAUUCUGGUUGAUUUCUUGUAAGUGUUAGUUGCACAUUAAUAUUAGAUCUUGCAAACAGGAUUUAUUUUGAUCGCUGGAGUCACUAGGACAUUUGAGGAAUGGAAUGUUGGGUUGAGUGUGGGUUAAGGAGACCAGAAUAGAACCUGGUACUUCAGAGCCGGAUGGGCUUUGAGGAUUGAGAGGUCCAGUGUGUUUGGCCUUUGGUGAUUUCUCAUGACCAUAGGACUUCUUUGCAGUGCUAAAAUCAUCAACCGGAAGAGGCAUAUUGGACUUACAAGUGUUCCUCUGACCAGCACCUCCUGGGCUCCAUAGAAUAUCAACCCCUUCUUGAUGGAUCUUCCAUUGAUAAAAUGGCCGUUCUAUAAUGUUCACUUCCGGAA
This 531-nucleotide long non-coding RNA is filed under the name Mustela putorius furo (domestic ferret). Its description in RNAcentral is "lncRNA (ENSMPUG00000028390.1)". The record is from RNAcentral. Lineage: Eukaryota; Metazoa; Chordata; Mammalia; Carnivora; Mustelidae.